Molecule: ribosomal RNA, 233 nt
Filed under: uncultured bacterium
Lineage: Bacteria
Description: partial 16S ribosomal RNA
Rfam family: Bacterial small subunit ribosomal RNA
Source: RNAcentral
GCAAGUCGAGGGAGAAAUUGUUUUUCGGAAUAAUGGAAACCGGCGCACGGGUGAGUAACGCGUACACUACCUACCUUAUACUGGGGAAUAGCCUUGGGAAACUGAGAGUAAUACCCCAUAGUCCAGAAAUGGUAAAGCUCCGGCGGUAUUAGAUGGGUGUGCGUUUGAUUAGCUAGUUGGUAAGGUAAUGGCUUACCAAGGCGACGAUCAAUAGGGGGCGUGAGAGCGUGAUC